Molecule: unclassified non-coding RNA, 200 nt
Filed under: soil metagenome
Description: partial contains internal transcribed spacer 2 and large subunit ribosomal RNA
Source: RNAcentral
AUUACACCACUCAAGCUCGGCUUGGUAUUGAGAGGCCGCCCUUCGGGGGGUGCCCCCAAAAAUCAGCGGCGGUGCAGCCGGACUUAUCCCAGCGCAGUGACCUACAAUCUCGCUACGGAGUCCCCGGCCGUGCUCGCCGGAUAACCACCAAUUUUUCAAUGGUUGACCUCGGAUCAGGUAGGGAUACCCGCUGAACUUAA